This 106-nucleotide ribosomal RNA is filed under the name Myotis davidii. Lineage: Eukaryota; Metazoa; Chordata; Mammalia; Chiroptera; Vespertilionidae. The record is from RNAcentral.
GUCUACGGCCAUACCACCCUGAACGCGCCCGAUCUCGUCUGAUCUCGGAAGCUAAGCAGGGUCGGGCCUGGUUAGUACUUGGAAGGGAGAAUGGUCAGCGUAGGCC